AUGGGGCCUUCACAAGUGACCUCUCUUGUGGUCACUAUACUAGUGGCACUAGUCUCUCUCACAUUGCCUUCAGAAACUUCAGCUAACUACCCUUACUCAUCUCCACCACCACCGGCUUCUCCUCCCUACCACUACAAGUCACCACCACCUCCUUCUCCUUCUCCUCCAGUGUACUCACCACCUAAGCAUCCCUACCACCCCAAGUCACCACCACCAUCACCAAAGCCUUACCACUACAAGUCCCCACCACCACCUCCUCCUCCAGUGCACUCACCACCCCCACCAAAGGAGCCUUACCACUACAAGUCUCCACCACCACCACCCAAGAAACCUCACCAUCACAAGUCUCCUCCACCACCACCCAGGAAGCCCUACCACCCGGUGCACUCACCCCCACCACCAAAGAAGCCUUACCAUUACAAGUCUCCUCCACCACCACCCAAGAAGCCCUACCACCCGGUGCACUCACCCCCACCACCAAAGAAGCCUUACCAUUACAAGUCUCCUCCACCACCACCCAAGAAGCCCUACCACCCGGUGCACUCCCCACCACCACCAAAGAAGCCUUACCAUUACAAGUCUCCUCCACCACCACCCAAGAAGCCCUACCACCCGGUGCACUCACCCCCACCACCAAAGAAGCCUUACCAUUACCAAUCCCCACCACCACCACCACCACACAAGAAGCCUCACCACCCAGUUCACUCACCACCUCCACCUAAGAAGCCUUACCACUACACGUCUCCCCCACCACCCCCUCCAGUCCACAAGUCUCCUCCACCACCAGUUCACUCACCACCACCACCACCUAUUAAACCUUACAAGCCACCAACACCUCCAACAGUUCACCCACCACCCGCUUACAUCUAUUCAUCACCCCCACCUCCUCACCACUACUAGAUAUUGAGAGCUUAGUUGCAUCCAGUUGGUAAGCCUCUCCAUUCUAUGUUUUUAGAUCAUAUCCAUACAACUGCAAGCAAUCGCCAAAUAAUUUGACAAAAAACAUCCCUAGCUAUAAAAUUAUAAUACACUAGUGUUUACUUCCUUUUUUGUCUAAUAAUCCAUAUUGGCAUAUGCAAGCUUAAUGCAUUUCCAGCAUAUCGUCAUUACUCAAUUAAAGUUUCUUGAUAUUUAGUAGUACUCAAGUGUAACAAAUAGACCAAUGACAGAGACCUAACAAGUAACAAUAAUAUAUAUAUAUAUAUAUAUAUAUAUAUAUAUAUAUAUAUAUCUUUGC
RNAcentral lists this long non-coding RNA (1237 nucleotides) under Malus domestica (apple). RNAcentral describes it as "long non-coding RNA (MDOM_LNC004283)". Lineage: Eukaryota; Viridiplantae; Streptophyta; Magnoliopsida; Rosales; Rosaceae. The record is from RNAcentral.